GAUGAACGCUGGCGGCGUGCCUAAUACAUGCAAGUCGAGCGAACAGACGAGGAGCUUGCUCCUCUGACGUUAGCGGCGGACGGGUGAGUAACACGUGGAUAACCUACCUAUAAGACUGGGAUAACUUCGGGAAACCGGAGCUAAUACCGGAUAAUAUAUUGAACCGCAUGGUUCAAUAGUGAAAGACGGUUUUGCUGUCACUUAUAGAUGGAUCCGCGCCGCAUUAGCUAGUUGGUAAGGUAACGGCUUACCAAGGCAACGAUGCGUAGCCGACCUGAGAGGGUGAUCGGCCACACUGGAACUGAGACACGGUCCAGACUAUUACGGGAGGCAGCAGUAGGGAAUCUUCCGCAAUGGGCGAAAGCCUGACGGAGCAACGCCGCGUGAGUGAUGAAGGUCUUCGGAUCGUAAAACUCUGUUAUUAGGGAAGAACAAAUGUGUAAGUAACUAUGCACGUCUUGACGGUACCUAAUCAGAAAGCCACGGCUAACUACGUG
This 497-nucleotide ribosomal RNA is filed under the name uncultured bacterium. RNAcentral describes it as "partial 16S ribosomal RNA". It matches the Rfam family "Bacterial small subunit ribosomal RNA", at positions 28 to 507 of the family's 1533-position model. The record is from RNAcentral.